Triticum aestivum (bread wheat) is the source of this 115-nucleotide non-coding RNA. Lineage: Eukaryota; Viridiplantae; Streptophyta; Magnoliopsida; Poales; Poaceae. The record is from Rfam.
UUGUUACUCCCUCCAUUCGGAAUUACUUGUCUCAAAAAUGGAUGUAUCUAGAAUUAAAACAUGCCUAGGUACAUCCAUUUCUGCGACAAGUAAUUCCGAAUGGAGGGAGUAGUUU